AUUGAACGCUGGCGGCGGGCCUAAUACAUGCAAGUCGAGCGGAAACAGAAAGCGGUUUGCUGUCUUGCUUAAGCGUCGGGCGUGUGAGUAAACUGUGUGGGACCGACCUUGAAGGCUGGGUUAACUUCGGGAAACCGGUAGUAAUACCGGAAAAUCGAUGCAACAACAUAGUUCCAUAGUUAAGGACGUUUUUGCUGCGACUGAUACAUGGUUCCGCGCCGCAUUAGCUAGUUGGUAAGGUAACGGCUUACCAAGGCAACGAUGCGUAGCCGACCUGAGAGGGUGAUCGGCCACACUGGAACUGAGACACGGUCCAGACUCCUACGGGAGGCAGCAGUAGGGAAUAUUCCGCAAUGGGCGAAAGCCUGACGGAGCCACGCCGCGUGAGUGAUGAAGGUCUUCGGAUCGUAAAACUCUGUUAUUAGGGAAGAACAAAUGUGUAAGUAACUAUGCACGCAUUGACGGUACCUACACAGAAAGCCACGGCUAACUACGUG
This 497-nucleotide ribosomal RNA is filed under the name uncultured bacterium. RNAcentral describes it as "partial 16S ribosomal RNA". It matches the Rfam family "Bacterial small subunit ribosomal RNA", at positions 30 to 507 of the family's 1533-position model. The record is from RNAcentral.